RNAcentral lists this transfer RNA (91 nucleotides) under Candidatus Daviesbacteria bacterium. RNAcentral's name for it is "tRNA-Ser". It matches the Rfam family "tRNA". Rfam says of the family: Transfer RNA (tRNA) molecules are approximately 80 nucleotides in length. Their secondary structure includes four short double-helical elements and three loops (D, anti-codon, and T loops). Lineage: Bacteria; Candidatus Daviesiibacteriota. The record is from RNAcentral.
GGAGGGGUACCGAAGUGGUUAUAACGGGAUCGUUUCGAAAACGAUUGUCCGAGCGAUCGGACCGUGGGUUCGAAUCCCACCCCCUCCGCCA